Molecule: ribosomal RNA, 743 nt
Filed under: uncultured archaeon RSS50-10
Lineage: Archaea
Description: bacterial SSU rRNA
Rfam family: Archaeal small subunit ribosomal RNA
Source: RNAcentral
AUGGUCUGGGAUGGUCUCGGAGAAACUGGGGAUAAUACCGGAUGGGUCACUACUUCUGGAAUGGGUGGUGACUGAAAGGCGACGCCCUUGGAUGGGUCUGCGGCGGAUUAGGUUGACGCCGGUGUAACGUACCGGGCGUGCCUGUAAUCCGUACGGGUUGUGGGAGCAAGAGCCCGGAGAUGGAUUCUGAGACACGAAUCCAGGCCCUACGGGGCGCAGCAGGCGCGAAAACUCUACAAUGCAGGCAACUGCGAUAGGGGGACAUCGAGUGGCACCCACCUUGGGUGCCUGUCCCACCGUCUAAAAAACGGUGGUUAGCAAGGGCCGGGUAAGACCGGUGCCAGCCGCCGCGGUAAUACCGGCGGCUCGAGUGGUGGCCGAUAUUAUUGAGUCUAAAGGGUCCGUAACCGGCUUUGCAAGUCCCCCGGGAAAUCCAGCGGCUUAACCGUUGGGCUUCCGUGGGAUAAUACAUUGCUUGGGACUGGGAGAGGUAGGAGGUUCUCCGGGGGUAGGGGUGAAAUCCUGUUAUCCUCCCGGGACCACCGGUGGCGAAGGCUUCCUACCAGAACAGGUUCCGACGGUGAGGGACGAAAGCUAGGGGCACGAACCGGAUUAGAUACCCGGUUAGUCCUAGCCGUAAACGAUGCCCGCUAGGUGUCACGGCAGUCGUGAAUUGCCGUGGUGCCGUAGGGAAGCCGCGAAGCGGGCCACUUGGGAAGUACGGCCGCAAGGCUGAAACUUAA